CAAUAGCGUAUAUUUAAGUUGUUGCAGUUAAAAAGCUCGUAGUUGAAUUUCUGUUAACCGCUGUCGGUCUGCCAUUCGGUGUGUACUGGCAGCGUUUGGCAACUAUUCGAGAUUGGGCGUCCACUUGAUUGUGUGCGCUUGAUUUCGGAGCUGAUACUUUGAGAAAAUUAGAGUGUUCCAAGCAGGCGAGAGCCUUGAAUACUGCAGCAUGGGAUAUCGAGACAGGACUUGGGUCCUAUCUUGUUGGUUCUCGGGAUCUAAGUAAUGAUUAAUAGGGAUAGUUGGGGGCAUUCGUAUUUAACUGUCAGAGGUGAAAUUCUUGGAUUUGUUAAAGACGAACUACUGCGAAAGCAUUUGCCAAGGAUGUUUUCAUUAA
RNAcentral lists this ribosomal RNA (376 nucleotides) under uncultured eukaryote. Its description in RNAcentral is "partial 18S ribosomal RNA". It matches the Rfam family "Eukaryotic small subunit ribosomal RNA", at positions 592 to 976 of the family's 1831-position model. The record is from RNAcentral.